GCCAGUGUAGCUCAGUGGUAGAGCAAUGGUUUCGUAAACCAUAGGUCGUGGGUUCGACUCCCACCGCUGGCU
RNAcentral lists this transfer RNA (72 nucleotides) under Candidatus Parcubacteria bacterium. RNAcentral's name for it is "tRNA-Thr". It matches the Rfam family "tRNA". From Rfam's summary of the family: Transfer RNA (tRNA) molecules are approximately 80 nucleotides in length. Their secondary structure includes four short double-helical elements and three loops (D, anti-codon, and T loops). The record is from RNAcentral. RNAcentral also lists the same sequence under 1 other name. Lineage: Bacteria; Candidatus Parcubacteria.